Molecule: ribosomal RNA, 508 nt
Filed under: uncultured bacterium
Lineage: Bacteria
Description: bacterial SSU rRNA
Rfam family: Bacterial small subunit ribosomal RNA
Source: RNAcentral
GACGAACGCUGGCGGCGUGGAUUAGGCAUGCAAGUCGAACGGUAUCAUCCUUUCGGGGGUGAGAGAGUGGCGAACUGGUGAGUAACACGUAGGUUAUCUACCCUCAAGACGGGGACAACCCAGGGAAACUUGGGCUAAUACCGGAUGUGAGCAACUUUUAGUUGUUUGAAAGGUGGCGUAAGCUGUCGCUUGGGGAUGAGCCUGCGUCCUAUUAGUUAGUUGGUGAGGUAACGGCUCACCUAGGCAAUGAUAGGUAGGCGGCCUUAACGGGUGGUCGCCCACACUGGGGAUUGAGAUACGGCCCAGACUCCUACGGGAGGCAGCAGUCGAGAAUAGUCUACAAUGGUCGGAAGACUGAUAGUGCGACGCCGCGUGAACGAUGAAUCCCUUCGGGGUGUAAAGUUCUUUUAUAUGUGAGCAGUGCUUCUUAUAUUAACAGUAUGGGGAAGAGAUAUUAGCAUAUGAAUAAGCAACGGCUAACUCCGUGCCAGCAGCCGCGGUAAACUCG